Long non-coding RNA from Gallus gallus (chicken), 5875 nucleotides. RefSeq lists it as uncharacterized. The transcript is spliced from 3 exons. NCBI's taxonomy places the organism in Eukaryota, Metazoa, Chordata, Aves, Galliformes, Phasianidae. The record is from RefSeq and is a predicted model, not a curated record.
CUCCUAGGUUUUUCCCACUGUUGUGGUUUUCCCCUUUUUCCCACAAGCUGUUUCACUGGACAGCAUGUCCUAUGCCCUCCUUGCACAGCUGCACACCAUUACCGCGCUGCUUUGUUUGUCCAGGUAAAGUGUGUGAAAUGAGAGGAACUUGCAGCUCACUGUUACUUUAAAAUUACUUAUAUGAUUAUUACUUAUACUUGGAACAGUUGCUGGGGGAGGUAUAUUUGAUGAGAGAGAAACAAGGGAAAUCCUCCAGUUAUCGAUCAUGCUGAUCUGUCACAAACAGCAGGAGCUUCCCAGCGUCAUCUGCACAGGUUGUGUCUUGUCUCUCUCCAACCUCUGACCUUUGAACUAGGCUUCUCAUGAAUACCUAACAUGAUGCUAAGCCUUCAUAUCUGUCCACGGGUUGCCUUCGCAGCAUCCCCAACUCCCUUAGGGACAGGGGUGCUGCAGGGAGGGACACAUCACAUGGAUUAGGACACCCUGACCUGAAAACGAUGAUGACCUUCAAGCAGUAUUAAGCAAUAUUCAGUUCAAACUCAUAAUCUGGAAGGGAAAAGUAGUAAAGGCUUCCAAAUGAGAGGUAGUCUGUAAACAGUUAAAGGGAAAGAAAGAAUGCAUAGGCCAUUGCCAGUCCCUCCUGCUAUCCAGACCUCUUCCACACCUGUAUUUGUUGAAGUUUACAGACAUUCUGAGUGUUUUCAGGGGUUUCAGUAGGACACAAUAUUGAAGUGCAACAUUUAUGGUUUUUUUUUCAUCCAUAGAUUGCUAUGAGCUGUUAAUCCCACAUCUACUCUGUGCUAAUGUUUGCAAUGAUUUAAUUGAAUAAUCGAGUCCAAAUCCCUGUAACAUGUGCAUCACAUGUUCGUUGUCAUUCUGAUAGACCCUAGAAGUGAUUUUUGGAUGCUUACUCACUGGAGAAACUUUAAAAUAUGUUAUAUUUUCACUGUAGAAUUUGUACUUCUUUUGCAAGCAGCUUUCCUGCAGGUAACUACUUAUAUAUGGCGUACCACUACCUGACAUUAGGCAAAGCACAGGCAGAUACUUUUUCACAUAAAGUUGUCUUUUCCUGAUUGUAGGUGGUAUAUAUGACAAGAGUUAUGCUGAGAGAGGAUCAGAAGCAUAGGGGAUAAAGUAAUAGGCAGCAGCUGGAAAAUUGAUGGGUAAAGUUGGAUGAUAACAACAGGAGAAGAUAAUUGGGCACUCCCUUGGAAGGACUAAGAGAUUAAUUAGCAUUCUCUUCAAGACUGGUAAUUGAAUCCAGUUUCUGAAUCCUGCCUUUCCUUUGAAUGCCAACACAUAACCGUAUACUCUAGUGAAAGAUGAUGUUUGUUGCUAGCCCUUGAAAAAAGAUUUUGAAUACUGUCAGUAUAAAAAGUUAAAUAAAGCUUAUCAAGCACAAGAUUUAAUUGUUAUAGAUGACAAUGCUGGUUUCAAUCUUAUUAUCUCUAUAGCUUGGGAUAAUUCCUCUUUCCAACCUAAAGGAACUAUAAGGAUGCAUUGAUGGUUGUAAAUCUCUACUGUGCUGUGUGAAGACGUGCAGAAUGCUGAGUAGAAUGAUGAGAAAAAUGACAAUUAUUUGUUUUACUCAGAAGCAUCAGAUAAUAUUUAACAUCAAGAUUUCUAAUCUAAUUUUGUGUUCCCCAGAUCCACCCAUCCUGUUGAUCCUGAGGAAUUAUUUCACUAAACAGACAAGAACAGCGAUAGAACAUCUACUUCAAAAGUAUUUGAUAAGCCAAAUAAUCAAGUCCAAUGGCACAUGCCAUUAGAGCAAGUUAUAGAGUUUUCUUAGUUCCAUUAUAUUAAGCUAAGAGGCAGUAUGUGAGCCGAGCAACAAAUGAAAGCAAAAAUUUUAAAAAAUAUAUGAGUUGCUGCUCAAAGGGAAAAAAAAAAGUUGGUAAAGAGAUGCUCAAAGGGAUAGGUUUUGAUAUGUUGUUUAGACUUCAGUAAUGCAUUUCUUUUUAACCACAAAUUUCAUUGGGAUUAUUAUCUCGUGGUUUUAUUGGGUGUGUAUGUGUUUGACAGCUACCAGCGCGUAGGAUGUUUUUUUUCUGACUGGAGUGUAGAAUCAGAAGAUGAAUAUUAUGUUUGCCUCCUUCCUCAGCUAUGGUUGUGGAGGCUAUGCUUUCUCUAGACAAAGCUCAUCUGCUUGAAAGUCAUGAUUAGAUGGGGAAACGAUGUACUUUCUGUCAUCAUUUUGUGAGCUGUGCUUGGAGACUAAAUCCUACUCAGAAAUGAAACCCCCUUCCUUAACUUUUGCAUUUUAUGCUUUUUUUCUUCUUUUUCCUGGGGAAAUCAGCUUCCCUGCCUGUUUGUGCUCAGCUGCAUUUCCUGCCUGGGGGAUGCCUGUGCUCCGGAAGGAGAUGCUGUGAAAGCAAAGAGGGGAACAUUGAGGACAUCUCUCAAGAAGCAGUGCCUGUGAUCCCUACCAGAGUGACCACAUGUUUUGUUUCAGCCCUGAGAAGCAGCCAAUCGGUUGUAUGGCCAUGUCAUCCUUGAAGACGCUACUGGUGGAAUUAAUCACUUCUCCAUAUACCAGAGCACUGACAUCCUGAGGUUGUUACAUCAAAGGAUAUUGACUGAGAAGACAAAUAAUCAAAUGACCCGUAACGCAGGUAAAUGAUACUCUUGGGAUCAAAGGAAUCCCCUACGAAUACUGUGUGCCGUUCUGUUCUGCCAGUCAUAGAAAGUGUCAUUUGGCUGCAAUGGUUAUAGUGAGGUAGCUUUUGUCAGUCCUUCAAAGUGAGGGUUUUCUAAACAAGAUCUUCCUGUUUGUUUUCCUUGUUUGCUAAUUCUUCAUAAAAUACAGUGAUGAAUGUUAAGUCUUAGUUGCGUAUCAAUUCACAUGACAUGCAUACUUGAAGGCUAGGCUUCUGAAACACCUCCAAAUGGUAGAGAAGACAGUUUGUUUUGGAAAUGGAUCGAGGUGGCUAGCUGAGAACUGGCUGGUGCAAGAAAAUAGGCUGCAAGAGGUAUUACCUUUAAAUCUUAUCCUGAACCAAAGCCAUUGGUUUUAGUCUUCUUUGAAGGUUGGUUCAGCUUAACAAGUAGAAAUCACUCCUCUUCUUGAAUACAAGUGCCCACACAGAAAGCUAGUGUAGGAGAGCGAUGGUUCUGUGCUUAGAUUCUAAGAGCAUACUUGUAUGGAAAUACUCAAAUGUGCAUUCAUUAAAUUUAUUUUUUACUAGGAAACAUGGAUGUGUCUGUCAGCUCCUGUAUCCACUCUUCCUUUACUCAUUCUGCACUUUGUUUGAAAAUAAAGAUUCUAUUUUGCUGUCCAUGUUAAUACUUCAACUUUUUGUAAGCUUUGAACUAGGCUGCAUACUUCAUAGUUCUGCAUAUAAACCAAGAAAUUAAAAACCUACAUGAGCCUUUGAAAUAAUAUCUAUACUGUGAAGCAAUCAUACUAUAGCUUCUCUGAUUAUGAUGAUGAAGAGCUGCACUCUGACAGCAAAAUAAAUUGAAAUAUAUACAUGCAUGUAUAUAAUAUUUAGAAGAACAGUAAAUUAAAAGUAUUCAGUUUGUCUAGAAGCUGAUGGCUGGAUCACCAGGUAGUAUAAAUCUACAUAUUGCUAUUGAGAGUCAGAGUUAUUACUGAAUGAUUCACUACUAAAUAUCAAAACCUGAAUAUGUGGCACAAUAACAGAAUUUUUUCCAUUCAAAAGGAAGCAGAACUCUAUAGUUGUAAGAAUUUUUGGAAGAUUUAUCAAAUAUUGUCUGUUAAAGUGAAACUUAUGUUCAUCUAUUAAGAAUAAAUAAUAAUCUCAUGUGAAUUUCAACAUCUACUGUAUACAGAUUCUAUCCUGCUGCAGUGAUAGUCUAGUAUGAUUAGUUCUUUUUGCAAUUUUAUGUAAAAUAAUUGCUUAACCACAUUUGUUUUCCUUCUUUUUAUUUUUUAUUAUCUCAUUAUAUUUCAUGGCAUAGAUUUAAAACAUUAUUGAGGUACUUUCCAUCACUUUUUUAAAAUUAACUUUCUCAGCUAAUGGUUCGCUUACUCUCUGCAUCUUACUGUUAAUAACCUACUGAAGCUUUAUAAGGAAAAGAAGAGUCAGCAAGAACUACAGAUACCAAUAAAUGCAGAAAUAGUUUGCUUUUUUGGAUAAAACUAAGGAAUAAUAGCCACUAGAUAUCAAAAUAAGAAAAAAAAUACCAUGAGCCAUGAGCAGAAAUUAGCUAAGUUUUUGUCUAAUCAACUGUAAAACUUUGACAGAACCAGAUUUACAUUAUAUGAAAGAUCUAUCUACUGCCAGGAUCUUUACUUGGGUUCUCUAACCCUGGAAAGCUUUACUAUAUGUAAUAUAAGCAACGGUAUUGUGAGUGGCGGGGAAUGAAAGAAUACUCAGGAAAAACAGAAAUUACCUGCAGGAGAUAUACAGCAGUUCAGGGUGAAAGAUGACCUCCUCUUACUGAACAUCAUAAAAGUAAGUAGAAUAAUGACUUGGAAUUGUGGAUAAUAAUAGAACAGAGAACAGAAUUUCAAUCUGGUAUGACUGCAGGUCAUUACUAAAAGGUCUUCUGCUUUACUGUGCAUACAUGGUUGCUUAUUUUCUCUUCAUAAAACUGUUCCUCACUUAGCAUGCAUGAUACAGGCCAAUGAAAACAUGGGUUUCUCACUUGCUGAGAAUAUGCAUAAAGAUUUUUUCAUUCCAUAGUUAGUUACUAUGCAUGACAUUUUAAAUACACUUUCUGUGCUGGGAGGUCGGUUGAUGCAUCUUACAUUAGUAAACAGAUUGAAAAACUCACUGUAGUUUAGAAUGUAUGCAGAAACAUGGACUGUAAUUCACAGCAAGAACUGGAAGUUUUUGUUUGAUUUGGAUCUUCUAAGGCACAAUUCUGAAUUAUUCAGUGUUCUUGUAUCUUUCUGUCAGUGCUGGAUAUUUUUUUUUCCUGGAUAUAUCUCACUACCAACAUGAGUUAUUUUGCAUGAGAACACUGGAUGAUGAACAGCAUCUGUGCUUCGUAGAUUAAAUGGCUUCAAACAAGAGUUUUAAAUGAACGGUUGAAUUAAUGAAAGACUAAAGAAUCUCCAUUUGCUGUUACUUUUAAUUAAGAAGUGACAGAAUCUGUGCCCUCAUCAGGAUCUUUUGUUCCAGAACAGCCUGUAAAGAUCUCAUGAAAUCACAAAUGUCUAAUAGAGUGUUUUUCUUAGAAAACCUGUUUAUAUAAAGUGAGACCUCAGGUGGUGUUUUCUUCAAUCCCUUCAGUAGCAGAGAAAAAUAUUGUGAGAAACAGGAAAAGCCACCUGAGCAACACAUGGCUAAGAGGCUGGUGCAGUCAGAGGAAUUUUUUUAUUAUUAUUAUUAUUUUUUAUCAUGCAAAGCUUUAUUCAGCAUCAGGCCUGCUGGCAACAGAUGGAGUCCACCUGUUUCAAAGGGGGGGAGGGAAUGGAUUCUAGCCCAGUAGUUAGUGGGGCUUGUUGAAAGGGCUUUAAACUAGGUUUGAAAGGGAAACGGGAUAUAACCAAACUUGUUAGAGAUGAGCCUAGGGGCAGUAUGUCAGUGUUAGGGGUGAGAUCAAUGGCCCAGCUGAAGUCCAUCUACACCAAUGCACACAGCAUGGGCUGCAAACAGGAGGAGCUAGAAGCCAUUGUGCAACAGGAAAACUAUGACUUAGUUGCCACCACUGAAACAUGGUGGAAUUACUCUCAUGACUGGAGUGCUGCAGUAGGUGGCUACAGGCUCUUUAGGAGGUAUAGACAAGGAAGGAGAGCUGGUGGGAUGUCUCUCUGUGUUAGGGAGUGUUUUGAUGUUGCAGAGCUCAGUGUUGGGAAUGAUAAGGUUGAGUCCUUAUGGGUAAGGAUCAGAGGGAAGUCCAAUGAGGCUUACGUUCUCACUGGGAAUUUGUUAUAGACCACCAAACCAGGAUGAGAAGACAG